UAUGUGGUUACAAGAUAGUUACUGGCCAGCCAUCAGAUAGGCUUUGGGGGGACUUCUCUGAGUUGUACAAGGAUCUCACUGAGAGGUUGAGUAAUGUAGAAGAGCUAACUAGGGCUACCAUGAAAAAGUUAACUCAGGGAAUGGCUGAGCAUAACAAAGCGAUGGCUGCUGCGAAGUCAGAUGAGGCAAAGGAUAACAUAAAAACUCAAAAACAGAAUACUACAACUGGGUUGCGAACUUGCAAUAACAUUUUGGCAAUGACAAAGCCAUUGCAUUUGAAGACGCCUUUAUUUAUUGGAGAUAAGAGUAUCAAUCCCUCCUGGAAAGAAGCAGUUAAACCUUCUGUGCCUUCCACCACGACAGCCACUGGAGGGAAACGACCUGCUACUACUGCUAAUGGGUCUGGCAACAUGGCAAAAAAGGGCCGUGGGUCUGGUGGCUUACAAAACCAACUAGUUAACAGGGCAUUGGAAGGAAUAUCUCAUGGAGGGAGGGGUGGUACAGGGGGCAGGGGC
Molecule: unclassified non-coding RNA, 515 nt
Filed under: Hevea brasiliensis (rubber tree)
Lineage: Eukaryota; Viridiplantae; Streptophyta; Magnoliopsida; Malpighiales; Euphorbiaceae
Source: RNAcentral